RNAcentral lists this ribosomal RNA (468 nucleotides) under uncultured bacterium. RNAcentral's name for it is "partial 16S ribosomal RNA". It matches the Rfam family "Bacterial small subunit ribosomal RNA", at positions 28 to 507 of the family's 1533-position model. The record is from RNAcentral.
GACGAACGCUGGCGGCGUGCUUAACACAUGCAAGUCGAACGGAAAGGCCCUGCUUUUGUGGGGUGCUCGAGUGGCGAACGGGUGAGUAACACGUGAGUAACCUGCCCUUGACUUUGGGAUAACUUCAGGAAACUGGGGCUAAUACCGGAUAGGAGCUCCUGCUGCAUGGUGGGGGUUGGAAAGUUUCGGCGGUUGGGGAUGGACUCGCGGCUUAGCCGCUUGUUGGUGGGGUAGUGGCUUACCAAGGCUUUGACGGGUAGCCGGCCUGAGAGGGUGACCGGCCACAUUGGGACUGAGAGACGGCCCAGACUCCUACGGGAGGCAGCAGUGGGGAAUAUUGCACAAUGGGCGGAAGCCUGAUGCAGCAACGCCGCGUGCGGGAUGACGGCCUUCGGGUUGUAAACCGCUUUCGCCUGUGACGAAGCGUGAGUGACGGUAAUGGGUAAAGAAGCACCGGCUAACUACGUG